AGUGGUUACACAACAAAUCAUAAACCAAUGAUUAUGCAUAAUGUGAUUAUCUUAAAACCGACAAAAUUCUUAACAAUUUUAGGAAACUUAUUUUUUGUUCUGAAAAUGACUGCAAACUUGCUAUGGCAUUUCUUUGACUACAGAUUUAUCAUAAUAUUAAUAUUUGAUUUGAUGCAAAAAAAAAGACACCUCUCACUCUUUUUUACCAAAAACAUCCAUUUCAAUAGAUCAUUUAGUUAAAUGCAGUAAAUAAUACUUAUUUGGAGAGAAAAUAACAAAGCUACUUAUUUGGAGGAAAAAUAACAACGCAUUAAUCAUAUACCAUGUAUUUUAAACAUUUAAUUUAUAAAUAACUUAAUCAGGGGUAUGUGUUGCUUGUUCAGCUAUUAAACAACACAAUGGAAUCAUUCAGUAUGGUUAAGUCACAUUAGCUGUCACUCAAAAAACAUAUCUGUAAAUGUUCCCUGAUGAAAUCUAAAAUUAGUAAUAUGAUUUUUAUAAAUCUAUUCUUUUCAAUGAAGAAUUUAAAAAACAUUAAGAUAAUAGAAAAUGUAAAAGAAAAUUUAAUAUGUGCUUUAGAUAUAUUUAUAUUUAGAUUUAAACAUUUGAUAAAGAUAAAAAUUAUGGGAACAAUCUUUUGAUUUUUUAAAUAUGCUUUAAAAAAGCAUUGACCAAUAUGGGGUUUUCUCUUCUCCUUUUUUAUUUUAUGCUUUUCUAUUUUAUAUAUUCAGUAAAUAAUAAUAAAAUGGUCUCCAGAUUGUUUUAAAUUGGUGACAUUCAUUCAAAG
Molecule: long non-coding RNA, 787 nt
Filed under: Mytilus galloprovincialis (Mediterranean mussel)
Lineage: Eukaryota; Metazoa; Mollusca; Bivalvia; Mytilida; Mytilidae
Source: RNAcentral